UACGUAGGGCGCAAGCGUUGUCCGGAAUUAUUGGGCGUAAAGAGCUCGUAGGCGGCCAGUUGCGUCUGCUGUGAAAUCCCGGGGCUCAACCCCGGGCGUGCAGUGGAUACGGGCUGGCCAGAGGCAGGCAGGGGAGAACGGAAUUCCCGGUGUAGCGGUGAAAUGCGCAGAUAUCAGGAGGAACACCGGUGGCGAAGGCGGGUCUCUGGGCCGAUACUGACACUGAGGAGCGAAAGCGUGGGGAGCGAACAGG
This 253-nucleotide ribosomal RNA is filed under the name uncultured bacterium. RNAcentral's name for it is "partial 16S ribosomal RNA". It matches the Rfam family "Bacterial small subunit ribosomal RNA", at positions 524 to 776 of the family's 1533-position model. The record is from RNAcentral.